UAUGGGCAGCAGCAACCAAUGGUUC
Molecule: non-coding RNA, 25 nt
Filed under: Mus musculus (house mouse)
Lineage: Eukaryota; Metazoa; Chordata; Mammalia; Rodentia; Muridae
Source: RNAcentral